RNAcentral lists this ribosomal RNA (255 nucleotides) under Klebsiella pneumoniae. RNAcentral describes it as "partial 23S ribosomal RNA". It matches the Rfam family "Bacterial large subunit ribosomal RNA", at positions 1443 to 1701 of the family's 2925-position model. Lineage: Bacteria; Pseudomonadati; Pseudomonadota; Gammaproteobacteria; Enterobacterales; Enterobacteriaceae. The record is from RNAcentral.
CUUGGUGUUACUGCGAAGGGGGGACGGAGAAGGCUAUGUUAGCCGGGCGACGGUUGUCCCGGUUUAAGCAUGUAGGCUGGUUGUCCAGGCAAAUCCGGAUAAUCAAGGCUGAGGUGUGAUGACGAGGCACUACGGUGCUGAAGUAACAAAUGCCCUGCUUCCAGGAAAAGCCUCUAAGCAUCAGGUAACAUCAAAUCGUACCCCAAACCGACACAGGUGGUCAGGUAGAGAAUACCAAGGCGCUUGAGAGAACUC